UACGUAGGGGGCUAGCGUUGCUCGGAAUCACUGGGCGUAAAGCGCACGUAGGCGGGUUGUUAAGUCGGGGGUGAAAUCCUGGAGCUCAACUCCAGAACUGCCUUCGAUACUGGCGACCUUGAGUCCGGGAGAGGUGAGUGGAACUCCGAGUGUAGAGGUGAAAUUCGUAGAUAUUCGGAAGAACACCAGUGGCGAAGGCGGCUCACUGGCCCGGUACUGACGCUGAGGUGCGAAAGCGUGGGGAGCAAACAGG
RNAcentral lists this ribosomal RNA (253 nucleotides) under uncultured bacterium. RNAcentral describes it as "partial 16S ribosomal RNA". It matches the Rfam family "Bacterial small subunit ribosomal RNA", at positions 524 to 776 of the family's 1533-position model. The record is from RNAcentral.